UACGUAGGGUGCGAGCGUUAAUCGGAAUUACUGGGCGUAAAGAGUGCGUAGGCGGUUCGUUAUGUCUGCUGUGAAAGCCCCGGGCUUAACCCGGGAAUGGCAGUGGAAACUGGCGGGCUUGAGUGUGGCAGAGGGGGGUGGAAUUCCGCGUGUAGCAGUGAAAUGCGUAGAGAUGCGGAGGAACACCGAUGGCGAAGGCAGCCCCCCUGGGCUAACACUGACGCUGGAGGCACGAAAGCGUGGGGAGCAAACAGG
RNAcentral lists this ribosomal RNA (255 nucleotides) under uncultured bacterium. RNAcentral's name for it is "partial 16S ribosomal RNA". It matches the Rfam family "Bacterial small subunit ribosomal RNA", at positions 524 to 776 of the family's 1533-position model. The record is from RNAcentral.